GAUGAACGCUAGCGGCAGGCUUAACACAUGCAAGUCGAGGGGUAUAGUAGCAAUACUAGAGACCGGCGCACGGGUGCGUAACGCGUAUGCAAUCUACCUCUCACAGAGGGAUAGCCCAGAGAAAUUUGGAUUAAUACCUCAUAGUAUAGUAUCUUGGCAUCAAGGAACUAUUAAAGUCACAACGGUGAAAGAUGAGCAUGCGUCCCAUUAGUUAGUUGGUAAGGUAACGGCUUACCAAGACUACGAUGGGUAGGGGUCCUGAGAGGGAGAUCCCCCACACUGGUACUGAGACACGGACCAGACUCCUACGGGAGGCAGCAGUGAGGAAUAUUGGACAAUGGGCGCAAGCCUGAUCCAGCCAUGCCGCGUUCAGGAUGACGGUCCUAUGGAUUGUAAACUGCUUUUGUACAGGAAGAAACACCCCGACGUGUCGGGACUUGACGGUACUGUAAGAAUAAGGAUCGGCUAACUCCGUGCCAGCAGCCGCAGUAA
This 492-nucleotide ribosomal RNA is filed under the name uncultured bacterium. Its description in RNAcentral is "partial 16S ribosomal RNA". It matches the Rfam family "Bacterial small subunit ribosomal RNA", at positions 28 to 523 of the family's 1533-position model. The record is from RNAcentral.